Solea solea (common sole) is the source of this 400-nucleotide long non-coding RNA. RefSeq lists it as uncharacterized. NCBI's taxonomy places the organism in Eukaryota, Metazoa, Chordata, Actinopteri, Pleuronectiformes, Soleidae. The record is from RefSeq and is a predicted model, not a curated record. The transcript is spliced from 3 exons.
UCUCUCAACACUUGGGCAGAUGAGUCACCAACAGGGGGCGGUGUUUAUCCUCUCAGUGUCAGCUAAGUCAAUAAUGAGCAGUUACAACAUUUCUGCUGCUGAUGAACUCAUCAUCAAAACUUUAAACCGACAACCUUCUGAUGCCAAAGUGAAUCCUGAGUCCUGACUCAAUUCUACUGCAUCUAAUAUCACAGGGAGCUGGGGACUGUGGACUGGAACAACCCUGUGGACCCACUCCAGGUUGUGGAAACGAAGCUGCCGGACCGGUACAACCCUGCCGUUGUGGAACUGAACCCGCCAGACCGGUACAACUCUGCCGUUGUGGAACCGAACCCGCCAGAAGGGGGCAAAAGUUUUUUUUUUGGGUUGUGGAACCAGACCGGACCAGACCGGUACAAGC